GAGAUUCCAUUUUUUACGUUCCUUCUUCAUUCUCUAGCUGUGACUGGAAAACCGUAUCAACCUGUUGCAAGAUCAGAGAACACACAUAUUACACACCGUGGAGCUGAGGCACAGAAGCUGAAAGAUUCAUUCAGUGCUGUAUAAGAAAUGUUUGACUGCAGAUCAAGACCCAUUGUUGGUGCUUCUCUGAAGAAAAGGAAAGGAAAAUACUGACUUCGACUCCUUUUAUGAAAAGGUUCCUUGGUAAUGUUAAGUAUACUUUUUAGAUUAAUGGAAAAUUAAAAUAGUGAAUGAGACCUGAGAAUACUUUUUAAAACCAAUUUUUAG
RNAcentral lists this long non-coding RNA (327 nucleotides) under Chloebia gouldiae (Gouldian finch). RNAcentral's name for it is "Erythrura gouldiae (Gouldian finch) lncRNA (ENSEGOG00005006990.1)". Lineage: Eukaryota; Metazoa; Chordata; Aves; Passeriformes; Passeridae. The record is from RNAcentral.